Molecule: unclassified non-coding RNA, 249 nt
Filed under: uncultured Coniochaetaceae
Lineage: Eukaryota; Fungi; Ascomycota; Sordariomycetes; Coniochaetales
Description: sequence contains ITS2
Rfam family: 5.8S ribosomal RNA (bases 1-52)
Source: RNAcentral
AACGCACAUUGCGCCCGCUAGUACUCUAGCGGGCAUGCCUGUUCGAGCGUCAUUUCAACCCUCAAGCCCUGCUUGGUGUUGGGGCCCUACGGCUGCCGUAGGCCCUGAAAGGAAGUGGCGGGCUCGCUACAACUCCGAGCGUAGUAGAAUCCUAUCUCGCUAGGGAGGUGCGGCGUGCUCCUGCCGUUAAAGACCCCAUCUUUAACCAAGGUUGACCUCGGAUCAGGUAGGAAUACCCGCUGAACUUAA